GAUGAACGCUGGCUACAGGCUUAACACAUGCAAGUCGAGGGGAAACGGCAUUGGGUGCUUGCACCGAAUGGACGUCGACCGGCGCACGGGUGAGUAACGCGUAUCCAACCUUCCCGUUACUGCGGGGUAACCUGCCGAAAGGCAGACUAAUACCGCAUGUUCUUCGAUGACGGCAUCAGAUUCGAAGCAAAGAUCCGUCGGUAACGGAGGGGGAUGCGUCUGAUUAGCUUGUUGGCGGGGCGACGGCCCACCAAGGCGACGAUCAGUAGGGGUUCUGAGAGGAAGGUCCCCCACAUUGGAACUGAGACACGGUCCAAACUCCUACGGGAGGCAGCAGUGAGGAAUAUUGGUCAAUGGGCGGAAGCCUGAACCAGCCAAGUAGCGUGCAGGAUGACGGCCCUACGGGUUGUAAACUGCUUUUAUGCGGGGAUAAAGUGAGGGACGCGUCCCUUUUUGCAGGUACCGCAUGAAUAAGGACCGGCUAAUUCCGUGCCAGCAGCCGCGGUAAUACGGAAGGUCCGGGCGUUAUCCGGAUUUAUUGGGUUUAAAGGGAGCGUAGGCCGGGGAUUAAGUGUGUUGUGAAAUGUAGGCGCCCAACGUCUGACUUGCAGCGCAUACUGGUUCCCUUGAGUACGCGCAACGCCGGCGGAAUUCGUCGUGUAGCGGUGAAAUGCUUAGAUAUGACGAAGAACCCCGAUUGCGAAGGCAGCCGGCGGGAGCGCAACUGACGCUGAAGCUCGAAGGUGCGGGUAUCGAACAGG
This 761-nucleotide ribosomal RNA is filed under the name uncultured Prevotella sp. Its description in RNAcentral is "bacterial SSU rRNA". It matches the Rfam family "Bacterial small subunit ribosomal RNA", at positions 28 to 776 of the family's 1533-position model. The record is from RNAcentral. Lineage: Bacteria; Pseudomonadati; Bacteroidota; Bacteroidia; Bacteroidales; Prevotellaceae.